RNAcentral lists this small RNA (83 nucleotides) under Marmota monax (woodchuck). Lineage: Eukaryota; Metazoa; Chordata; Mammalia; Rodentia; Sciuridae. The record is from RNAcentral.
GCUGGGCUUGGUGGUGCAUGCCUAUAAUCCCAGCAACUUGGGAGGCUGAGGCAGGAGGAUCGCAAAUCUGAGACCAGCCUCAG